UAGGAAGUGGUGUAGUGGAAGCACUAAGAGUUUUGAUCUCUUCAGGCGGGGUUCAAGUCCCC
RNAcentral lists this transfer RNA (62 nucleotides) under Epiplatys sexfasciatus (sixbar panchax). RNAcentral's name for it is "partial tRNA-Gln". It matches the Rfam family "tRNA", at positions 1 to 62 of the family's 71-position model. Rfam says of the family: Transfer RNA (tRNA) molecules are approximately 80 nucleotides in length. The record is from RNAcentral. Lineage: Eukaryota; Metazoa; Chordata; Actinopteri; Cyprinodontiformes; Nothobranchiidae.